RNAcentral lists this transfer RNA (82 nucleotides) under Owenweeksia sp. TMED14. Its description in RNAcentral is "tRNA-Leu(caa)". It matches the Rfam family "tRNA". From Rfam's summary of the family: Transfer RNA (tRNA) molecules are approximately 80 nucleotides in length. Their secondary structure includes four short double-helical elements and three loops (D, anti-codon, and T loops). The record is from RNAcentral. Lineage: Bacteria; Pseudomonadati; Bacteroidota; Flavobacteriia; Flavobacteriales; Owenweeksiaceae.
GCCCAGAUGGCGGAACUGGUAGACGCGCACGACUCAAACUCGUGUACCCUAGGUGUGCGGGUUCGAUUCCCGCUCUGGGCAC